RNAcentral lists this ribosomal RNA (510 nucleotides) under uncultured bacterium. RNAcentral describes it as "partial 16S ribosomal RNA". It matches the Rfam family "Bacterial small subunit ribosomal RNA", at positions 28 to 523 of the family's 1533-position model. The record is from RNAcentral.
GACGAACGCUGGCGGCGUGCCUAAUACAUGCAAGUCGAGCGAAUGACGAGAAGCUUGCUUCUCUGAUUUAGCGGCGGACGGGUGAGUAACACGUGGGCAACCUGCCCUACAGAUUGGGAUAACUCAGGGAAACCUGGGCUAAUACCGGAUAAUCCUUCGAAUCACAUGUUUUGAAGUUGAAAGGCGCUUCGGCGUCACUGUAGGAUGGGCACGCGGUGCAUUAGCUAGUUGGUGGGGUAACGGCCUACCAAGGCAACGAUGCAUAGCCGACCUGAGAGGGUGAUCGGCCACAUUGGGACUGAGAGACGGCCCAAACUCCUACGGGAGGCAGCAGUAGGGAACCUUCCACAAUGGACGAAAGCCUGAUGGAGCAACGCCGCGUGAGUGAUGAAGGUUUUCGGAUCGUAAAACUCUGUUGUAAGGGAAGAACAAGUACGUUAGGAAAUGAACGUACCUUGACGGUACCUUAUUAGAAAGCCACGGCUAACUACGUGCCAGCAGCCGCCGUAA